AAAUUAAAAUUAAUUAUAUAGAUCACAAUAAAAUGUAAAAUAGAUUUGGACUACAAUAAACUUUUGAAAUAUUCAAAAUUUCCAACAAUCCCCCACAUAUUUCAAAAGUUUAAAUUAAAGAAUUAUAAAUUAGAAUUGUUUUAAAACAUUGGCUGAGUUACUUUUGAGUGUGAUGCAUCAAACUGGUGUAGCAAGCUAUAUGAACCAGUGCUAGAAUGAUAGACUUAACACACAGUGAAAUUGGUGUAGCAAGCUAUAUGAACCAAAGACA
This 271-nucleotide long non-coding RNA is filed under the name Trifolium pratense (red clover). RNAcentral's name for it is "long non-coding RNA (TPRA_LNC003637)". Lineage: Eukaryota; Viridiplantae; Streptophyta; Magnoliopsida; Fabales; Fabaceae. The record is from RNAcentral.